This 76-nucleotide small RNA is filed under the name Clostridium sp. CAG:226. Its description in RNAcentral is "Gut-1 RNA". It matches the Rfam family "Gut-1 RNA". The record is from Rfam by way of RNAcentral. Lineage: Bacteria; Bacillati; Bacillota; Clostridia; Eubacteriales; Clostridiaceae.
CAGUGAAAUAAAUCCUUGCGGAUUUGUGAAAUAUGCUGAAGCAUGUGAAAUAUGGCUUCGCCAUGUGAAAUGCGCU